GUUCUCAUUUUCUUUAAGGGAAACCCCAUUUCCCCCCCUGAAUGUUUCUAAGUUUCUGUCACUCUGCAGGCAGACGGAAGUCGUACUGGGUCCUUCUUUCCCCCACCCCCAAAUGGCUCAUUCCUGAGGGGAAUGUGUUUACUCCUUCCAGCAGAGGCAAUCACCUACUUUGGUUGGCUGUGCAGCGAAAGAGUGGAAAGGGAAGUGGAGUAUAGGGUCUCCCGCUCACAUUUACCUCUGCUACCUGAAGAAGGCAGAAUGCAUUUCUCUCUCUACCUGUAAGUGCAAAGAACAAUUUGAAUGUCAUGUCCUGGAACCUUCCUGUGGUAGGAGGAAGGGGUUUCUGCACCCCAAAACAGUGAUUUAAAGCAACCACCAUUUAUUCUGUGGGUUGGUCCCACCUGGGUGGUUCUGAGUGAGCCUGGUAAGGCUUGCUUACCCAUGUGCAGGCUGGCUGCUGGCUGGCUGCGGUUAGCAGGGGCCAGCCUGAGCUCUCCCCAUGUGCUCCCUCAGCCUCCCAGCGAGCUAGUCUGGCCUUGCUCUCUGGUGGUGGCAGGUUUCUGAGAGAGCAAGCAUCCCAGUGCUCGCACUGGUAUUCUGUGACUUCUGCCACACUCUGUUGGCCAGAGCAAGACACAGGAGCAGCUCAGGUUCAGGAGUUGGGGGAGACAGAGCCCCAGCUCUUAGCGGGAAGAGGAGCAGCGUGAAAGAGGGAGAGGGAUGGAUGCAGGAAGGGGAAGAGUGAGUCCCUUUUACCAUCCGUCUACACUGGAGUGUUGUUCAGAAUAAAAUGGUGUGGAGUAAAAUGCUCCCAGAGCACAUCUGGGAAUAAGAGAGGGAUGUUCCCAGCCCGGGGGGUGCUUCCAUCUCCAAUGAUCACAUUCCAACAGAGAGACCCCCACAUCCAUAUUUAAGGACUGAAAUUCCUUCCAAAGCCAAAUAUCCAUGGUCGGGGUCCUGUGUCGACUGUACUACUGCAUUCCAGCGGCACAAGUCACUGAAGAGCAACUACUGCACAGUCAAGAAGACUGUAGAGGAACCUGGUAUAGAAACAGAUAAGAGAUGUCCCACUCACCCUUUAUGCUCAUUCAGCAAACCAUGGUGAGGUAUUGGGCAAAAGAGCGAGCUUGAGCGAGGGUUCUGUCUCUGGUGGAAGAGGCAUCAUUUUGAAACAUUGGCUCUUUGACAGUCUCAGGAUGCAUGCCUCCCCUUGGCCAUCUGCUCCGGGGAGCUGGGGGGUGCUCUGGGCACCAGUCGCAUAACCCCCUUUGAGGGGAGGAAAUAAGCAUUCAAAGGCCUAAACAUUCAGUUGGUGAGUCAUUGUUUUUAUUUAUGCUUGGCCCUGAGCAUCCCUGAGAAAGGAGGUGAAGCGGGCUGGAGAGUCCCAAGGCAUCUGGGGUCCUCCUAGGGAGCUAGGGAAGACUUUGGGUGUUGCUCUACCCCAGGGCAGGAGAGGAGCUGCUGGGAACAGAGAUUAUCUGAAGAAUUCCUGCCACAGUUCGACCCCCACCCCACCCCUACCCCCAACCGAGGCCAAGGAAUGAGGCUGUGCCGGCUGGUGAACAGACUGCCCUGCGAGGACUUGAGCCUUGCCAAAAAGAGGUGGGGCCAGCAGCGGGCACAGCAUGUCAGGUGGAAUCACUGAAGACAAGGCCAGAGGUGCAGGGGGCCACAGAUGCUGGAGACCCUGGCCCGAUACCCACAUGGCUGGCCCCACUAAGGAACUGCCUCCCUUGGGGAAGUAACCCAGAGUUUCCCAAGGUUUGAGCAAGGGGAGCACAGAAUACAUUUCUGAAUGGAGAGGGACACCUAAGCGACCUCUGACUGUGAUCCUCGAUGAUCCCCUUCAGCCUGGCUUCUCAUGCUCUUGGGAGCCUGACUGUCUGUCUGUCUGUCUGUCCAUACUCAUUCCUGCACGGUUACCUUGAUCCCAGGUAUCAGGGCGAAGUUGAAACUCCUGCUUAGUUUGCAUCUCUUUCCUCCAUUCUCCUUAGUAACACUGACAUGCAAGAACACUUGCCCCAAAAAAUCUUCACUUAAGAUUUUCACUAAUAAGAUUACCAAUAGCAUAAAAAGUUAAAACGACAAAUUCCAGGACGUUUCUGGUAACUUCAUUCUACCGCGAGGCCCUGGAGGCAUCCCCCUGCUUCCCCCCCCCCCCCCCACCGUGUGAUGGAACAAAUUGAAGAGUCGCAGGCAGACCUGGAGUCGAGAUUCAGCCCUGCAGCUUACUGCCUUCCCUCGCACCGCGGCCCUCCUUAGCUCUGUUUCCCACGUGUGUGAAUUGAAGAUAACCAUAUUGGUGUACAGCGCUGGGGCAAAGGUGAAAUGGGAAGAUGGACAGCCACGCACCAGCAGAACUCCUGGAAGAUGGUAGUGGUAGAGACCCAGCUGUUACACAGCACCCUCUGUGGUCUCUUACAGCUGUCCAUUCCUGGGCACAGCGGGGGCCUCAGACAUCACGUCCACUUCCUGUGUCGGGCCACGUAACUAUCACUCUGCCCCCCACCUCGGACACCUUCCCACUCGUUGAAACAAGACCCAAGGGGUGCGCCUUUUCCACUGUAAAUUCACAAGACUGUGGCAGCUGAUCCAAAGUUGUCAUUUCCUGACAUCACACAUGGAGGGAAGGGGGCUUAUGCCCAGUAGCCCCCCAGUGUACCGCCUUCACUGGCCAGUACAAUUAGAAUGGGUGCUGGGGGAUAAUAAAUCUGCCACCAGCUUGGACAACAUGGCAAUAUAGACCCAAGCCCCUCUGGGAGGGGACUGGAGCCCGCCCCUCUGACCCAGGCUGUUGAUUUCUUAUGGGCAGGUGUAGUCCUGAAAACAGUCUACGUGGACAUGAGUCAUGAGAAAAACCACAUUCUUGUGAUGAGACUCUGACAAGUUGUCUUAAUUUAGGCAGAGGUAGUAAAACACCUUAUCCUAAAAUGGAAAAGCAAAUUCAACUUACUGGCUUUCAUGGUCUAUUUCAAUGACAAAGAAACCACCACCACCAAAAACAAAACAAAACAAAACAAAAACCAAAAAACCUGUAUAUUUAAGGUUCUUAAAAGAGCUUUUUCUAAAUAUCUACUCCUUCAGUGGAAAAAACAAACAAUUUUUCAUAUCAGGUUUAUUGAGUUUGUGAUUUAUAUCCAGUAAGAUUCACCCCAUUUUAGAGAUACAGUUUUAGUAUAAGUUUUGACAAAAAUUUAUGGUUGUGUAACCACCACAAUCAAGACAGAGACUAUUUUCAGUCCCCUAAAAUUUCCUGUUUGCCUUUGUAAUCAAUCCUCUUUGUGUUACCCCCACCUCCUGGCAACUGCUCUCUGUUCUCUGUCCCUAUAGUGUUGCCUUUUCCGGAAUGUCAUCUGAAUGGAAGCCAGUUGAGUUUGGCUUCUUCUAGCAUAACGCCCUUGGGCUGCAUCCCAGUUGUUGGGGGUAUCCGAAGUUGGCUCCUUCUGAUCGCAGAGUCGUACUCUGUGGGAUGGAUGCACCACCGUUUAUCUACUCACCAACCUUCAGAUUCCUUCCAGUGUGGGGCGAUGACAAAUAAAGUUGCUCUAAAAACUUGAGUGGACGUGUGAUUUCAUUUCUGCUAGGAGUGGGAUUGUGGGGUCAUGUAGUAAAUAUAUGCAUGGAAUUGCAAAACUAUUUUUCUGAGUAGCUGGGCCGUUCCGCACUCACAUCAACAAUGAAUGGGAGUGCCAGUUGCUUCACGUUCUCAUCAGCACUUGGUAUUGUCAGUUGUUUGACUCUUAAUUUUAGCCGUUCUGCUAGACGUAUAGUGUCUCAUUGUGGCUUUACUCUGCGGUCCACGAUGGAGCAUCUCUUCAUCUUUACCUCUUGUUUGGUGAAGCAUGUGUUCAAAUCUUCUGCCCAUCUAUUUUAUUUUAUUCUAGUCUAUUCUCUUUUUUAAGUAAGCUCUGUGUCCAGUGUGAGGCUUGAACUCUGAAUCCCAAGAUCGAGUCGCUCCCUCUACCGACCAAGUCAGCCAGGCACCCCUUUUGCCCACUUUUUAAUUGCAUUAUUUAUUAUUGAGUUUUGAAAGUUCUUCUGUAUUCUGGAUACAAGAAUAUAUAGGUAUUUAGGGCUUUUAGGGGAUUCUGUAUUUACUACUGUUUGUGAAAAAUAAAGACAUUAAAAUUUUUUAUUUUCUAAAAAAAAUAUGUUUCAGGAGAUGUGUACCACCAGUAAUAUUUAUUCAGAGUAAAUGUUUCCACAAUGAAAACUCUUUUCACAGUGGGACUCCCAGUGUCAGGGCCGAGAGCCACCCCUUGUUCCGUGGACUGUCACAUCCUAUAAGGCUUUCUGGAGUGAAGCAGGCACACUUCUAGGGAACACGUUCACCCGUGGAAAUUGUUCUCGUGUGGACACGGUUUCUGGGCUGGACUGCGUGGUGAGCACACGCCCACGGUACGCCGGUGUAGGAGAGAUCCAGUCGCUCGCCAUCCUCACGAGCCCCGGAUACUGUCCACAAACCGACUCUAGAA
This is a long non-coding RNA of Mustela lutreola (European mink), 4475 nucleotides long. RefSeq lists it as uncharacterized. The transcript has 3 exons. NCBI's taxonomy places the organism in Eukaryota, Metazoa, Chordata, Mammalia, Carnivora, Mustelidae. The record is from RefSeq and is a predicted model, not a curated record.